GUACACUCCUACGGGAGGCAGCAGUGGGGAAUAUUGCACAAUGGGCGCAAGCCUGAUGCAGCCAUGCCGCGUGUAUGAAGAAGGCCUUCGGGUUGUAAAGUACUUUCAGCGGGGAGGAAGGCGAUAAGGUUAAUAACCUUGUCGAUUGACGUUACCCGCAGAAGAAGCACCGGCUAACUCCGUGCCAGCAGCCGCGGUAAUACGGAGGGUGCAAGCGUUAAUCGGAAUUACUGGGCGUAAAGCGCACGCAGGCGGUCUGUCAAGUCGGAUGUGAAAUCCCCGGGCUCAACCUGGGAACUGCAUUCGAAACUGGCAGGCUAGAGUCUUGUAGAGGGGGGUAGAAUUCCAGGUGUAGCGGUGAAAUGCGUAGAGAUCUGGAGGAAUACCGGUGGCGAAGGCGGCCCCCUGGACAAAGACUGACGCUCAGGUGCGAAAGCGUGGGGAGCAAACAGGAUUAGAUACCCCAGUAGUCCCAUGA
Molecule: ribosomal RNA, 478 nt
Filed under: uncultured organism
Description: partial 16S ribosomal RNA
Rfam family: Bacterial small subunit ribosomal RNA
Source: RNAcentral